RNAcentral lists this ribosomal RNA (229 nucleotides) under uncultured bacterium. RNAcentral's name for it is "partial 16S ribosomal RNA". It matches the Rfam family "Bacterial small subunit ribosomal RNA", at positions 568 to 796 of the family's 1533-position model. The record is from RNAcentral.
UGCGUAGGCGGACUAAUAAGUCAGUGGUGAAAUCUCUCGGCUCAACCGGGAAACUGCAAUUGAUACUGUUAGUCUUGAGUUCGGUUGAGGUAGGCGGAAUGUGUAAUGUAGCGGUGAAAUGCUUAGAUAUUACACAGAACACCAAUUGCGUAGGCAGCUUACUAGACCGACACUGACGCUGAGGCACGAAAGCGUGGGUAGCGAACAGGAUUAGAUACCCUGGUAGUCC